This 497-nucleotide ribosomal RNA is filed under the name uncultured bacterium. RNAcentral describes it as "partial 16S ribosomal RNA". It matches the Rfam family "Bacterial small subunit ribosomal RNA", at positions 28 to 507 of the family's 1533-position model. The record is from RNAcentral.
GAUGAACGCUGGCGGCGUGCCUAAUACAUGCAAGUCGAGCGAACGGACGAGAAGCUUGCUUUUCUGAUGUUAGCGGCGGACGGGUGAGUAACACGUGGAUAACCUACCUAUAAGACUGGGAUAACUUCGGGAAACCGGAGCUAAUACCGGAUAAUAUUUUGAACCGCAUGGUUCAAAAGUGAAAGACGGUCUUGCUGUCACUUAUAGAUGGAUCCGCGCUGCAUUAGCUAGUUGGUAAGGUAACGGCUUACCAAGGCAACGAUGCAUAGCCGACCUGAGAGGGUGAUUGGCCACACUGGAACUGAGACACGGUCCAGACUCCUACGGGAGGCAGCAGUAGGGAAUCUUCCGCAAUGGGCGAAAGCCUGACGGAGCAACGCCGCGUGAGUGAUGAAGGUCUUCGGAUCGUAAAACUCUGUUAUUAGGGAAGAACAUAUGUGCAAGUAACUGUGCACAUCUUGACGGUACCUAAUCAGAAAGCCACGGCUAACUACGUG